UACGGAGGGUGCAAGUGUUAUCCGGAUUUACUGGGUUUAAAGGGUGCGUAGGCGGGCCUUUAAGUCAGUGGUGAAAUCUCCCCGCUCAACGGGGAAACUGCCAUUGAUACUAUUGGUCUUGAAUUUAGUUGAGGUGGGCGGAAUGUGUCGUGUAGCGGUGAAAUGCUUAGAUAUGACACAGAACACCGAUUGCGAAGGCAGCUCGCUAAACUAAUAUUGACGCUGAGGCACGAAAGCGUGGGGAUCAAACAGG
RNAcentral lists this ribosomal RNA (253 nucleotides) under uncultured bacterium. RNAcentral's name for it is "partial 16S ribosomal RNA". It matches the Rfam family "Bacterial small subunit ribosomal RNA", at positions 524 to 776 of the family's 1533-position model. The record is from RNAcentral.